AUGACAACACUGGAAACUGAAGCCCUCUUUCUAUCCACAGAACCAGUAAAGCAAAGGCAGCAGGCAAGCAAAUGUCCAUACCAAUGUAUAUUAAUCUUGAUGUACAGGAACUACCUUAAAUGGGAAUAAAAGAGUCUUUCUAUUUUCCAUAUCUAAGAAAGCAUAAA
Molecule: small RNA, 167 nt
Filed under: Gopherus agassizii (Agassiz's desert tortoise)
Lineage: Eukaryota; Metazoa; Chordata; Testudines; Testudinidae
Description: TUC338 (ENSGAGG00000011909.1)
Source: RNAcentral